Molecule: ribosomal RNA, 564 nt
Filed under: uncultured Glomeromycotina
Lineage: Eukaryota; Fungi; Glomeromycota
Description: SSU rRNA
Rfam family: Eukaryotic small subunit ribosomal RNA
Source: RNAcentral
UUGGAGGGCACGUCUGGUGCCAGCAGCCGCGGUAAUUCCAGCUCCAAUAGCGUAUAUUAAAGUUGUUGCAGUUAAAAAGCUCGUAGUUGAACUUCGGGAUCAAGGAAUCGGUCAUGCCUUGGUAUGUACCGGUUUUAUUGGUUCUCACCUUCUAAAGAACCAUAAUGUCAUUCAUUUGAUGUUAUGGGGAAUUAGGACUGUUACCUUGAAAAAAUUAGAGUGUUUAAAGCAAGCUUACGCUUGAAUACAUUAGCAUGGAAUAAUGAAAUAGGACAUCCGAUUCUAUUUUGUUGGUUUCUAGGAUCGAUGUAAUGAUUAAUAGGGAUAGUUGGGGGCAUUAGUAUUCAAUUGUCAGAGGUGAAAUUCUUGGAUUUAUUGAAGACUAACUACUGCGAAAGCAUUUGCCAAGGAUGUUUUCAUUAAUCAAGAACGAAAGUUAGGGGAUCGAAGACGAUCAGAUACCGUCGUAGUCUUAACCAUAAACUAUGCCGACUAGGGAUCGGAUGAUGUUAAUUUUAUAAUGACUCACUCGGCACCUUACGGGAAACCAAAGUGUUUGGGUUC